CGUCGCUUAAACAAAUCGCAGCUGUCAACAAGUGAAAGGGGAUUAAAAAUGAGAUACCGUAUCGAAAACCCCAGGACAUUCUCCUCGCAUAAAACUUAAGCGAAUUUCCGCCAAGAGCGCUAGCUGUACAUCGUGACGUCAUGCGCUGUAGAACAUGCGUAGUCGACGACUGGAAGAAACAGCCAGCUACAUGACCAUACUUAUCGGAGCCCCUGUAGAAUUUUCCAUUAGAUGCAAUACGUAUGAUAUUUCUAUCGAGGCCCGGCACCCGGUGACUCUUACGUUCGACGUUCCUGCGAUAGGGCUGCUGACGUCAAAAUGCUGCUGCAGUCUCUGCUGUGCAGGGACUUCCGAAGAACGGUACAACCACGGCGAUUACGUCACAAGUGCUACGUCACAACUAUUGCCCUUGCGUGUCGCUACGUGGCAGCCCAGUCAACCCGUGCUUUUUUUAAACGUACCAUACCUCCUUAAGGUGAAAU
Molecule: long non-coding RNA, 482 nt
Organism: Orussus abietinus
Lineage: Eukaryota; Metazoa; Arthropoda; Insecta; Hymenoptera; Orussidae
Exons: 3
Source: RefSeq, a predicted model, not a curated record